This 477-nucleotide ribosomal RNA is filed under the name uncultured bacterium. RNAcentral's name for it is "partial 16S ribosomal RNA". It matches the Rfam family "Bacterial small subunit ribosomal RNA", at positions 30 to 507 of the family's 1533-position model. The record is from RNAcentral.
AUGAACGCUGGCGGCGUGCCUAACACAUGCAAGUCGAACGGAGUCCAGCCUUUAAGACCUUCGGGUCAAAGAGGGGAAGACUGAGUGGCGGACGGGUGAGUAACACGUGGGCAACCUGGCUCAUAGAGGGGGAUAACAGAGAGAAAUUUCUGCUAAUACCGCAUAAGCACACACUGCCGCAUGGCAGAGGGUGAAAAGAGAAUCGCUAUGAGAUGGACCCGCGUCUGAUUAGCCAGUUGGCAGGGUAAGAGCCUACCAAAGCGACGAUCAGUAGCCGAUCUGAGAGGAUGAACGGCCACAUUGGGACUGAGACACGGCCCAAACUCCUACGGGAGGCAGCAGUGGGGGAUAUUGCACAAUGUGGGGAACCCUGAUGCAGCGACGCCGCGUGAGUGAAGAAGUAUUUCGGUAUGUAAAGCUCUAUCAGCAGGGAAGAUAAUGACAGUACCUGAAUAAGAAGCCCCGGCUAACUACGUG